Molecule: long non-coding RNA, 647 nt
Filed under: Brassica napus (rape)
Lineage: Eukaryota; Viridiplantae; Streptophyta; Magnoliopsida; Brassicales; Brassicaceae
Description: long non-coding RNA (BNAP_LNC015743)
Source: RNAcentral
UCUUAUGGAUUCUCCUUAUGGAUUCUAUAGAUACCCUCAAUCCAUUUGAUCCUAUCACAGUCGCAGAAGGAGGCCCAAAUCUUUGAAAGGUUGACAUUGUAAUAUGGGAUCUACCCAUCUGAAAACCCAAUACCCGGAUCCUCUGAUUGAAUUUUCUUGUGCUAUUCCUCCAAAUCUUAUCUCCCUCGAACCCGAAAAAACUCAAAAUCCAUAUCAGUAGACCACCACCACUGCACCUUCUCGAUCACCAAACCUACUUCGAUUCGAGAACAUCUCAAAAACCCUAAUCUUGAAAUCGCCAUUGCCCAUUUAGUUUGGAUAUUUUAUCAAUUAUUCAUGUUUAGUUAUUUUAUGUUGUAAAUAUGUAAAUAUGUAAAUAUAUUUAUUUUGUGUAACCAAAUUCAUUAUGACGAAAUUACCUUUUAUAAAUAUUUAAGCAUUUAAGUAGCACUGAAAUUAAAUGUUUUAGUUCUAUAUAGUUGUUAUAUUUUAAUAAGAUAGAAGAGAGAUUAAUAAAUUAUGGGUAAAAAACAAACUGAACCAAACGAAACUAACCGAACCUAAAUCGACGCAAGUCAAAUAAUUGUCUAGGUCCUAACCACUCGGUUAUAGUUUUUAUCAGCUCAAACGAUUCGGUUUGGUUUAAA